Molecule: ribosomal RNA, 2911 nt
Filed under: Enterococcus faecium
Lineage: Bacteria; Bacillati; Bacillota; Bacilli; Lactobacillales; Enterococcaceae
Description: 23S ribosomal RNA
Rfam family: Bacterial large subunit ribosomal RNA
Source: RNAcentral
UUAAGUGAAUAAGGGCGCACGGUGGAUGCCUUGGCACUAGGAGCCGAUGAAGGACGGGACUAACACCGAUAUGCUUUGGGGAGCUGUACGUAAGCUAUGAUCCAGAGAUUUCCGAAUGGGGGAACCCAGCAUCUUUAAUAGGAUGUUACGAUUGUGUGAAUACAUAGCACAUUCGAGGUAGACGCAGAGAACUGAAACAUCUAAGUACCUGCAGGAAGAGAAAGAAAAUUCGAUUCCCUGAGUAGCGGCGAGCGAAACGGGAAAAGCCCAAACCAGCAAGCUUGCUUGUUGGGGUUGUAGGACUCCAAUAUGGUAGUUCUUUCAGAUAGUCGAAUGACUUGGAAAAGUCAGUCAAAGAGGGUAAAAACCCCGUAGACGAAAUGUGGAAGACACCUAGGAGGAUCCUGAGUACGGCGGAACACGAGAAAUUCCGUCGGAAUCCGGGAGGACCAUCUCCCAAGGCUAAAUACUCCCUAGUGACCGAUAGUGAACCAGUACCGUGAGGGAAAGGUGAAAAGCACCCCGGAAGGGGAGUGAAAUAGAACCUGAAACCGUGUGCCUACAACAAGUCAAAGCCCGUUAAUGGGUGAUGGCGUGCCUUUUGUAGAAUGAACCGGCGAGUUACGAUUGCAUGCGAGGUUAAGUUGAAGAGACGGAGCCGCAGCGAAAGCGAGUCUGAAUAGGGCGUUUGAGUAUGUAGUCGUAGACCCGAAACCAUGUGAUCUACCCAUGUCCAGGUUGAAGGUGCGGUAAAACGCACUGGAGGACCGAACCCACGUACGUUGAAAAGUGCGGGGAUGAGGUGUGGGUAGCGGAGAAAUUCCAAACGAACUUGGAGAUAGCUGGUUCUCUCCGAAAUAGCUUUAGGGCUAGCCUCGGAAUUGAGAAUGAUGGAGGUAGAGCACUGUUUGGACUAGGGGCCCAUCUCGGGUUACCGAAUUCAGAUAAACUCCGAAUGCCAUUCAUUCAUAUCCGGGAGUCAGACUGUGAGUGAUAAGAUCCAUAGUCGAAAGGGAAACAGCCCAGACCACCAGCUAAGGUCCCAAAAUAUAUGUUAAGUGGAAAAGGAUGUGGGGUUGCACAGACAACUAGGAUGUUGGCUUAGAAGCAGCCAUCAUUUAAAGAGUGCGUAAUAGCUCACUAGUCGAGUGACCCUGCGCCGAAAAUGUACCGGGGCUAAACAUAUUACCGAAGCUGUGGAGUACACCUUUAGGUGUAUUGGUAGGAGAGCGUUCUAAGGGCGUCGAAGGCAGAUCGUGAGGACUGCUGGAGCGCUUAGAAGUGAGAAUGCCGGUAUGAGUAGCGAAAGACAGGUGAGAAUCCUGUCCACCGAAUGACUAAGGUUUCCUGGGGAAGGCUCGUCCGCCCAGGGUUAGUCGGGACCUAAGCCGAGGCCGACAGGCGUAGGCGAUGGAUAACAGGUUGAUAUUCCUGUACCCGUUGUUUUUGUUUGAGCAAUGGAGGGACGCAGGAGGCUAAGGAAUGCAGACGAUCGGAAAUGUCUGUCCAAGCAGCAAGUCUGAAGAGGAGUUAAAUACUUCUUUUCUUAAGGACAAGCUGUGAUGGGGAGGGAAAUAAUAGUACCGAAGUUCCUGAUGUCACACUGCCGAGAAAAGCUUCUAGUGAGAAAACAGCGGCCCGUACCGCAAACCGACACAGGUAGUCGAGGAGAGAAUCCUAAGGUGAGCGAGAGAACUCUCGUUAAGGAACUCGGCAAAAUGACCCCGUAACUUCGGGAGAAGGGGUGCUGAUCAUACGAUCAGCCGCAGUGAAUAGGCCCAAGCGACUGUUUAUCAAAAACACAGGUCUCUGCAAAAUCGUAAGAUGAAGUAUAGGGGCUGACGCCUGCCCGGUGCUGGAAGGUUAAGAGGAGUGCUUAGCGCAAGCGAAGGUACGAAUUGAAGCCCCAGUAAACGGCGGCCGUAACUAUAACGGUCCUAAGGUAGCGAAAUUCCUUGUCGGGUAAGUUCCGACCCGCACGAAAGGCGUAACGAUUUGGGCACUGUCUCAACGAGAGACUCGGUGAAAUUUUAGUACCUGUGAAGAUGCAGGUUACCCGCGACAGGACGGAAAGACCCCAUGGAGCUUUACUGUAGUUUGAUAUUGAGUGUCUGUACCGCAUGUACAGGAUAGGUAGGAGCCGUAGAAAUCGGAACGCUAGUUUCGAUGGAGGCGCUGGUGGGAUACUACCCCUGCGUUAUGGCCACUCUAACCCGCACCACUAAUCGUGGUGGGAGACAGUGUCAGAUGGGCAGUUUGACUGGGGCGGUCGCCUCCUAAAAGGUAACGGAGGCGCCCAAAGGUUCCCUCAGAAUGGUUGGAAAUCAUUCGAAGAGUGUAAAGGCAGAAGGGAGCUUGACUGCGAGACCAACAAGUCGAGCAGGGACGAAAGUCGGGCUUAGUGAUCCGGUGGUUCCGCAUGGAAGGGCCAUCGCUCAACGGAUAAAAGCUACCCUGGGGAUAACAGGCUUAUCUCCCCCAAGAGUCCACAUCGACGGGGAGGUUUGGCACCUCGAUGUCGGCUCGUCGCAUCCUGGGGCUGUAGUCGGUCCCAAGGGUUGGGCUGUUCGCCCAUUAAAGCGGCACGCGAGCUGGGUUCAGAACGUCGUGAGACAGUUCGGUCCCUAUCCGUCGCGGGCGUUGGAAAUUUGAGAGGAGCUGUCCUUAGUACGAGAGGACCGGGAUGGACUUACCGCUGGUGUACCAGUUGUUCUGCCAAGGGCAUUGCUGGGUAGCUAUGUAGGGAAGGGAUAAACGCUGAAAGCAUCUAAGUGUGAAGCCCACCUCAAGAUGAGAUUUCCCAUUUCUUUAAGAAAGUAAGAUCCCUGAGAGAUGAUCAGGUAGAUAGGUCAGGAGUGGAAGUACAGUGAUGUAUGGAGCGGACUGAUACUAAUCGAUCGAGGACUUAACC